CUCUUUGGGAGCUUGGGGCAGGUGACAGCAGCCACAUCUCCCAUGUGUGCCUACGAGAGAGAUGAGAAAGAGAGGAGUGGAAGAGUGGAAGCAGGGGGCUGAGAGUGCCCAGGUUCUGCCAAUGAGCAGCUGUCUGAGCACUAUAAAAGCUGACUGGUGGUGUGAUGGGGCUUGAUACCUUGGGAAGGUGCUUGUUGUUAUGGUCUGGGAUGCUGCCAGGUGGCUCUUGGUCAAGGAGGAAGAGCAGGAAGACUGGUUCCUGGCUUGGUACUUCAAGAUGCAGUGGGGGAGUGGUUUUCCCAUUGUUUCUUCUAACCGCUACUCUAUUUUUGUUCAAAACGCUCCUUUGCCUUGAGGAAGCUGUGUCACCAGAUGUCCCUGAUGCUGCUCCCUGAUGAACCAGAGCUGUGGGCAAUGGAGAUGAAUCCAGCCUGGCAUAGCAGCCUGUUUGAUGCCCGUUGGGAAAUGACAAUGACUGGAUUCAGCACCCAGCAGGUGCAGCUCUGACUCAUUUGCACUCACUGAGCACCUGUGGGUGUGCACCCAAGGAUUGCUGCUGCAUGGUGUGAAGCCUGAGGGCUGCUUCCCUUGCAGAGGUGCUUCUUGCUCUCCUGCCUCACUCUCUGCUAGGAGUGGAAGUGGGAAGGAUUUAAGGUAUCUCAAAGAGGAACAGGAUGACCUGAGCUCCAAGCAGAGAUUGUAUGAGAUUUAUUUCUAAAGGAUAACUUGAAACAUUUAGUAAUACUUUGUUUUAUCUUCCACCUCGACACAAAUUGUCAUUGUGCAGUAAUGGGGAGAAGCAAUAAAGGCUCUCUGCAUUUCCUGCUCUGCACAAUGACCUGCAGCACCUUUCCUUGUGAAGAUUUCUAAUGCAAAGCUUUGUGGAGGACAGAGCCUGGCUUGGGUGUGAAGUGCAAACCCAGACAAUGUGAGAUGCAGAGCUGAGGCAGCAGAAGGGGUGCAAGGUGCUGGGGUCCCAUGGUGCCCAUCCGUUGUGUGCGGGUGACAGCAUGGGCUGGGUGUGUGGAGGAAGGGGGUAUGGAUGUGGGUAGAGCAGCAGUGUUGGCAGCUGGAGAAGCUUCCCAGCAGGGCACAGGGUUUUGCAGUGCUCGCAGCUAUUUCCCAGUGCCCUUCUGUGCUCUCACCACCUGGCUCUGGCACACGGCAGCUGCGGUGCAGCCCCUUUACAGCUGUUUGCAUAAGACCUGCUCAUCACUCUGUGAUCCUCUCCCUGCCCUUGCCACAGCAAAAUAGCUCUCUGGGUGGUGAUGUGUGCCCAUCUUCUCAGCUGUGUGGCUUUGAGCAGAGCUGCCAAUGCUUUUUAGGCAAGAAAAACUGCUUCGAGGAAGCCUGGCUCUGCUGCUGUGUGUGUGAUGGGCUCUGGUGACAGAGAGCUGUUCCCAGGGUGAGCAGCUGAUGUAAAGCGGUUGCGUACAGAGAUCAGAUGCAAGAUUGAGCAUAAAGAUCUAUGAAGAGGCAAAAAAACAAACAAACAAACAAAAAAACCCAAACACCUGAAAAAGCCCAUAGGAUGCCCAGUUCCUGUAGAUGGAGGAUGGUAAUAUCAGGCGUGGUGUGGGCAGUGGGUGAGAACAGGGUGUUGGGAUAAGGAGGAGCUCAAUGGACAUGUGGGUGUGGGCGGUGCCUGGCCAGGCAUGGACUGAACCCAUCCACCUCUUCAGCCUUAGUUAGAACAAGCAGUGUGCUUCUGCUCUGUAUAAGCAAUUAGCAUCACAUGGCCAUGGUGAUUUUCAUCUGGCACCUGCAUCCCAAAGCCAAUUUAGCAUGAAAAUGCUCAGUGUGUAAACACAAGGAGAAUAGCCUCUUAGCUCCUGGGCCCUCUGUCCUUGGUGUGACAUUCAGUAUUUACAAAGAUUGGGGCUUUUUGUUUUGUUUUCCGCUGCAACAGGGAACCACACAGAUUUCUCUGAAUUCAAAAGAUGAUGACUUUUUUGAUGCCCAAAAUGACCGCUUCUGCUUGACUAAUACUGGACAAAUAUUGACUCAUGGCUACUACAAGUUGGUUCCUUCACUGAUGAAUGCUCAAGGCUACUUGGAUAAACAAAUGAUUUCUCAUGAAUAUUCUUAUUUUAGCACAUCCCUAGAAUAAUAAUGCAUCCUG
Molecule: long non-coding RNA, 2122 nt
Filed under: Gallus gallus (chicken)
Lineage: Eukaryota; Metazoa; Chordata; Aves; Galliformes; Phasianidae
Description: lncRNA (ENSGALG00010012740.1)
Source: RNAcentral